UUAUUCAGAUUUACACUUCCAGCAUUUCCUCAGUUUGUGUCUUCUUUGUCUCCAUUUCAGUCGGGCAGCAGACCUCCUGCAGGCAGAUCAGACUACCACCAUCCCCCAUGAGACCCUGUAACCAAGCCCCACCUCCCUCCAUCCCACCCAUUCUUCGAGACUGCAACUGUUCCCUGAGACAGCGAUGGCCAAGACCCGAUUGGACUAAGAGACACAGACACUGCUUGCACCAAGUGGAGAAAGAGAUGGAUAGAGGCCAGUGCAAAAGUACAGUCAACAACAAAAAACACACCAUGGUUCCAUCAGAACCUACACCAGCAAGACCUGAACAUCCCAACACAGAGGAAACAGAAGAAAUCGACCUUAAAAAUGAUCUUAAGAAGAUGUUAGAGAUCGUUAAAGAGGAAAUGAAAAAUUCCCUUAAAGAAUUAGAGGAAAAGUCAAACAAAAAAUGUGAAGCAAUCAGUAAAUCCCUUGAAAGCCAAGAGAAAGCAAUUAAAUAUUUGAGGGAAACAGCUCAAGAUUUGAAAUCUGAUUUCUCAUUUUCAAUAUGUAUAUUUUGCAUAUAGACAUUUAUUAGGUGAGAAUUUUUGUUUUAUUUAAUUUCUUGCAUUCAAUAUGUAUAUUUUGGUUAUUAAACCUUUAUCAGAUGAGAA
Molecule: long non-coding RNA, 656 nt
Organism: Peromyscus eremicus (cactus mouse)
Lineage: Eukaryota; Metazoa; Chordata; Mammalia; Rodentia; Cricetidae
Exons: 2
Source: RefSeq, a predicted model, not a curated record